CAAUCACCAUCACCAUCACUACCAUUAUCACCAUCACCACCACCACAAUCAUCAUCACCACAACCAACACCACCUCCACAAUCACCAUCACCAUCAUCACCAUCACCACAAUCAUCCUCACCAUCAUCCUCACCACCUCCACAAUCACCACCAUCACAAUCAUUAUCACUACCACCACAAUCAUCACCACCAUCAUCACCAUCAUCACCAUCACCACCACCAUCAUCACCAUCACCACUACCAUCGUCACCAUCACCACCACAAUCAUCCUCACCAUCAUCAUCACCACCUCCACAAUCACCACCAUCACAAUCAUUAUCACUACCAUCAUCACCAUCACCACCACCAUCAUCACCAUCACCAUUAUCACUACCAUCAUCACCAUCAUCACCAUCACCAUCAUCACUACCAUCAUCACCAUCAUCAUCACCACCUCCACAAUCACCAUCACAAUCAUUAUCACUACCACCACAAUCAUCACCACCAUCAUCAUCACCACCACAUCAUCACUACCAUCAUCACCAUCACCACCUCCACAAUCACCAUCACCAUCACCACUACCAUCAUCACCAUCACCACCAUCAUCAUCACCACCACAUCAUCACUACCAUCAUCACCAUCACCACCUCCACAAUCACCAUCACCAUCACCACUACCAUCAUCACCAUCACCACCUCCACAAUCACCAUCACCACCACAAUCAUCCUCACCAUCAUCAUCACCACCUCCACAAUCACCACCAUCACAAUCAUCAUCACUACCAUUAUCACCACCACCACAAUCAUACUGCCAUCACCACCUCCACAAUCACCAUCACCAUCAUCACUAUCACCACCACAAUCAUCCUCACCAUCAUCACCACCUCCACAUCAUCACUACCAUCAUCACCAUCACCACCACCAUAAUCACCAUCACCAUCAUCACCACCACCACAAUCAUCAUCACCAUCAUCACUACCAUCGUCACCAUCACCACCACAAUCAUCCUCACCAUCAUCGUCACCACCUCCACAAUCACCACCAUCACAAUCAUCAUCACUACCAUUAUCACCACCACCACAGUCAUAUCACUACCAUUAUCACCACCACCACAAUCAUCAUCACUACCAUCAUCAUCACCACCACAGUCACCAUCACCAUCAUCACUCCCAUCAUCAUCACCACCACAAUCAUCACCACCACAUCAUCACUACCAUCAUCACCAUCACCACCUCCACAAUCACCAUCACCAUCAUCACCACCACCACAAUCACCAUCACCAUCACCACUACCAUCAUCACCAUCACCACCUCCACAAUCACCAUCACCAUCAUCACCACCAUCCUCACCAUCACCACCACAAUCAUCCUCACCAUCAUCGUCACCACCUCCACAAUCACCACCAUCACAAUCAUCAUCACUACCAUUAUCACCACCACCACAAUCAUACUGCCAUCAUCACCACCACAAUCACAUCACCAUCAUCACUACCGUUAUCACCAUCACUACCACCACCACCACCAUCAUCACCACCACCACUGCAAUUGUCGUUGCCACCAUCAUCAUGGAUGUUUUUUGAUCUGACUCUUUGUUCUAG
RNAcentral lists this long non-coding RNA (1575 nucleotides) under Sus scrofa (pig). Its description in RNAcentral is "lncRNA (ENSSSCG00070015477.1)". The record is from RNAcentral. Lineage: Eukaryota; Metazoa; Chordata; Mammalia; Artiodactyla; Suidae.